AGUGUAGGCGGGAUCGUAAGUUAGGAGUUUAAUGCAUGGGCUUAACCCAUGACCUGCUUUUAAUACUGCGGUUCUUGAGUAUGGGAGAGGGCGAUGGAAUUCCAGGUGUAGCGGUGGAAUGCGUAGAUAUCUGGAGGAACACCAGUAGCGAAGGCGGUCGCCUGGCCCAAUACUGACGCUGAUGCUCGAAAGCUAGGGGAGCAAACAGGAUUAGAUACCCUGGUAGUCCUAGCCGUAAACGAUGGACACUAGUUGCUGGAGGAGUCAAUCCUUUCAGUGACGAAGCUAACGCAUUAAGUGUCCCGCCUGGGGAGUACGCUCGCAAGGGUGAA
RNAcentral lists this ribosomal RNA (332 nucleotides) under uncultured bacterium. Its description in RNAcentral is "bacterial SSU rRNA". It matches the Rfam family "Bacterial small subunit ribosomal RNA", at positions 568 to 898 of the family's 1533-position model. The record is from RNAcentral.